GACGAACGCUGGCGGCGUGCUUAACACAUGCAAGUCGAACGGAAAGGCCCUGCUUUUGUGGGGUGCUCGAGUGGCGAACGGGUGAGUAACACGUGAGUAACCUGCCCUUGACUUUGGGAUAACUUCAGGAAACUGGGGCUAAUACCGGAUAGGAGCUCCUGCUGCAUGGUGUGGGUUGGAAAGUUUCGGCGGUUGGGGAUGGACUCGCGGCUUAUCAGCUUGUUGGUGGGGUAGUGGCUUACCAAGGCUUUGACGGGUAGCCGGCCUGAGCGGGUGACCGGCCACAUUGCGACUGAGAUACGGCCCAGAAGCCUACGGGAGGCAGCAGUGGGGAAUAUUGCACAAUGGGCGGAAGCCUGAUGCAGCAACGCCGCGUGCGGGAUGACGGCCUUCGGGUUGUAAACCGCUGUCGCCGGUGACGAAGCGUGAGUGACGGUAAUGGGUAAAGAAGCACCGGCUAACUACGUG
RNAcentral lists this ribosomal RNA (468 nucleotides) under uncultured bacterium. RNAcentral's name for it is "partial 16S ribosomal RNA". It matches the Rfam family "Bacterial small subunit ribosomal RNA", at positions 28 to 507 of the family's 1533-position model. The record is from RNAcentral.